This 21-nucleotide small RNA is filed under the name Arabidopsis thaliana (thale cress). RNAcentral describes it as "Ath_wt_16901". Lineage: Eukaryota; Viridiplantae; Streptophyta; Magnoliopsida; Brassicales; Brassicaceae. The record is from RNAcentral.
GCGCGCGACCUAUACCCGGCC